This 468-nucleotide ribosomal RNA is filed under the name uncultured bacterium. RNAcentral's name for it is "partial 16S ribosomal RNA". It matches the Rfam family "Bacterial small subunit ribosomal RNA", at positions 28 to 507 of the family's 1533-position model. The record is from RNAcentral.
GACGAACGCUGGCGGCGUGCUUAACACAUGCAAGUCGAACGGAAAGGCCCUGCUUUUGUGGGGUGCUCGAGUGGCGAACGGGUGAGUAACACGUGAGUAACCUGCCCUUGACUUUGGGAUAACUUCAGGAAACUGGGGCUAAUACCGGAUAGGAGCUCCUGCUGCAUGGUGGGGGUUGGAAAGUUUCGGCGGUUGGGGAUGGACUCGCGGCUUAUCAGCUUGUUGGUGGGGUAGUGGCUUACCAAGGCUUUGACGGGUAGCCGGCCUGAGAGGGUGACCGGCCACAUUGGGACUGAGCUACGGCACAGACUCCUACGGGAGGCAGCAGUGGGGAAGAUUGCACAAUGGGCGGAAGCCUGAUGCAGCAACGCCGCGUGCGGGAUGACGGCCUUCGGGUUGUAAACCGCUUUCGCCUGUGACGAAGCGUGAGUGACGGUAAUGGGUAAAGAAGCACCGGCUAACUACGUG